GCCCGGCUAGCUCAAUCGGUAGAGCGUGAGACUCUUAUGAAGAUACUGCAAAUCCUCACGGUUCAUCUCAAGGUUGUGGGUUCGACCCCCACGUCGGGCU
Molecule: transfer RNA, 100 nt
Filed under: Immersiella caudata
Lineage: Eukaryota; Fungi; Ascomycota; Sordariomycetes; Sordariales; Lasiosphaeriaceae
Description: Cercophora caudata tRNA
Rfam family: tRNA
About the family: Transfer RNA (tRNA) molecules are approximately 80 nucleotides in length.
Source: Rfam by way of RNAcentral